CGCGUAGGCGGGCCUUCAAGUCGGAUGUGAAAACUGGCGGCUCAACUGCCAGCCUGCAUUCGAUACUGUCGGUCUUGAGUACAGGAGAGGAAAGCGGAAUUCCAGGUGUAGCGGUGAAAUGCGUAGAUAUCUGGAAGAACACCUGUAGCGAAGGCGGCUUUCUGGCCUGAUACUGACGCUCAAGCGCGAAGGCUAGGGGAGCAAACA
This 207-nucleotide ribosomal RNA is filed under the name uncultured bacterium. RNAcentral describes it as "partial 16S ribosomal RNA". It matches the Rfam family "Bacterial small subunit ribosomal RNA", at positions 568 to 774 of the family's 1533-position model. The record is from RNAcentral.